RNAcentral lists this non-coding RNA (306 nucleotides) under Paenibacillus sp. RNAcentral's name for it is "T-box sequence". It matches the Rfam family "T-box leader". From Rfam's summary of the family: Uncharged tRNA acts as the effector for transcription antitermination of genes in the T-box leader family. The record is from RNAcentral. Lineage: Bacteria; Bacillati; Bacillota; Bacilli; Caryophanales; Paenibacillaceae.
AUAAAGACAUAGAACAGGAAGAGUAAGCAUGACUGCCCCUUACAGAGAGCAGUGCAGCUGGUGGAAUGCCUGCAGGAGUGUGGAUGCUGAAGUCGCCUGGGAGUUGUCCUGUUGAACACAGCGCUGAUUCAUGAUGAAUCAAGGCGUCUUGAGUAGGCAGGGACGGUAGCAGCCGUUAUGUGCGAAUGAAGUGCUGCAGCUUGGCUGUAUUCGAAGCAUCGAUGCGAAUACAGUUGUGACCGGCUUAAGGAAUUGAGCCCUGCAGAAUGAAGGUGGUACCACGGAAGCAAUCCUUUCGUCCUUUGC